Molecule: non-coding RNA, 2526 nt
Organism: Equus caballus (horse)
Lineage: Eukaryota; Metazoa; Chordata; Mammalia; Perissodactyla; Equidae
Source: RefSeq, a predicted model, not a curated record
UUUCAUGGCAGGACAUGUAUUUCUGGUUGAGCUGGGUCAAGUGCAUGAAAGAUUGCCAUCAAGAGAGCUCACUUUUCAUUGUUUCAUUUCCCUUUUCAGAACCUGGUCUCUUGCACUGAAUGUAUGGAAAGAGAGGGGAAGCCCAUUGCUUUGGGUAUGGCAGUGGGAGAGAGUUAUACUCUGAGCCUGAUGUUAGUACCAGCUGAUAGCUACACCCCACACACUUUCACCUCCUCCUGCUGAUACCUCUAAUGCCUUUGGUUUAUUCUGUAUAAUAAACCCUCACUUUGCUCUUUCCUAGGCCCUGUGUCCUUCAUGCUCUGCCUACCAUUUGUGUUUGCUUCCCUGUAUAACACGUGUCUUUGCCUCCCCUGGAUAAUCAUAUAAAACUGUCUUCUCUUUCCCACAGGAGCAACAAGAUGCACCAAAAUAGAAUGAGCUUUGCAGUCAGACCAGCAGCUCUGCCUCAUCACCGUUUGGAGAUACCUUUAAAGGACAGCGGUGCAAGUAUGUACCUGUCAGAAUUGCCUCCCCUUCCAUCAAGUCUCAGGAUGCGCCUCCUUCCAAACCUUGAACUGGACACGGUGGAUGCAGAUGAACCACCAGCAAAGGCCUCAGGAAGCAGUGGAAUGUCAACAGACAAAAGAGGAUGCAGAAGGCAGCAGAGCCUCAGAAUCAUAUUUUCAUCAUCGACAAUGGAACAUGACAUAUGCUGAGCCAGUCUCUGAUUUAAGCGUUCAGUAAAAGGAAAUUCUGCAUGAAGAGUUAUCUGCAAAAAAUAUUCCUACGAUUUUAAAAGCUGGCUUUAGGAUGAAAGAAAAUUUGAACUCCUCAGGGAAUAUGCUGCCUAACUCAUGGAAGGCUCAGGUGUGGGAAACGCUGGCUUGACUAAGAUAUCCUGAAAUACAACAGAGGUAAGAAAGAACCACACAUUGUGAGGAUCAUUGAGGAAUUUCAUCCCAGGGAUGCAAAGGGUGUGAAACAUCACCAAUUGGAUUCUCUCUUAUCUAAUCUCUGCUUAGACAGUUCAUUCUCUUUUGGACCAUUGUUUUAGAACGUUCUUCCUCAUACUGACCUAAACUCUGCCUCCCUGUCACCUUGCUCCUUGCUCUUCCUCUAAACCCCCUGCAGGCUCCUUCUAUUUAUCAGUUUUUGGAGACAUUCAGACACUGCCUCUCCCUUCUCCACUCCUGGGUUCUUUUCUUCUCUGCGCCAGGCACACCCAGGUCUUCACAACUGUUCCAUAUACAAUCUUUCUUCUCUCUCCUGGCCUUCCUUCUUUAGACCAACUACAAUUUGCCUAGAGAAAUGUUUUCCCUCAAAUAGAAAGAACAUGAUACUCCAGGUGAAAUGAACACAUCUCUUAUUCUAAAAAGUAGAUAUUUAACAUCUAGGAAGUCUAAACAUUGAUAUUUAAAAACAGCAAAAAGAGUAGGAUUUCACUGAUCAUUAGACAACUUUAGAAUUUUCUUCAAGACCUUAAGAUACAAUACCAAAUAAGUAAAAGUGGUAAAUUUCAAAUGUACGUAGACAUAUGUGUGCAUGCAGGGUGGUCCACUUGAUGGAGGGUCCUUAUAAACCGCAUUAGGUCCAGAAGCUUCCAAAAUGCCUUGAGUUCAAUUUAUGAGGUAGGCUUUCUUUAGGGGUCUACAAUGCAUAAAUAACUAUUGAUUAGCUUCCUAGAGACGGGUUUUUAGUAGAACUCUGAACAAGGGCAUUAGAGAAAUGCCCCCAAUGGGGUCAUUUUUGUUGACCUGGGACUACAUAAAAAUGGGAGUAUUGAAUGCUUAAUGUCACAUUUUAUUGCUUGGUUCAGCUAAUUUGUCUUGUGGGAAGCAAAUGUUUUUGAAAGCAUUCCAAAGCCUUUGUAGUGUUAAAGCUCAUUACCUUGAAUUUCAUGUGAGCCAAAAAAUAUACAACUAACUAAGUGCUCUGAACCUCCACAAAAUUUCAUGACUAGACAGAAGCAAAGCUGUGAGUAUCAUGUCCUGCAAAACUAAGAUGAAUUUAGCAAUUUGCAUCCUUAUUAGUAACAUGCAAUAUAAUAAAUUUGGGGGGAUUCCUUUGUUAUUGUUUUCUUUAAAGUGCUAAAGAUAAGUUAAUGAACAGAUUAAAGAACACAUAGAAUAUAUCUUCUUUAGUGAAAUUAUAUUAAUUUUCUGUUAAUCCUUAACUCUGGAUCCCAGUAUACAAACCUGGAAAAAGACUGUGUGCAUUUUACCUAGACAGAGUACUUUUACAGACCAGAAUAUAUUUUCAGUUACUACAAUAGGACUUGUUCUGUGCCAGGAUCUUUCAUAUACGUAACUCAAUUCUAACUCUUGAGGAAUUGUUUAUCCCACUUACAGAUAAAGAAACUGAGGCCCCAAUGUCAUUAUUUUGAUAAAUAAAAUUUCAGUGGUUCAUAAGAGCCAGGAGAAUUUUAUUGCUCCACGUGGUCCUCAAAAUACUCACAAUCUGAUCCUAAUCUACCUUCCUAGACCUGUUUCCCACUCCUGUCUGCCCUGAGCUAACAUCCAUUGUCAA